GACAGAGGGUGCAAACGUUGUUCGGAAUUACUGGGCGUAAAGCGCGUGUAGGCGGCCAGAUAGGUCUGCUGUGAAAACUCGAGGCUCAACCUCGAGCUGUCGGCGGAAACCAUCCGGCUAGAGUCCGGAAGAGGAGAGUGGAAUUCCCGGUGUAGCGGUGAAAUGCGCAGAUAUCGGGAAGAACACCAGUGGCGAAGGCGGCUCUCUGGGACGGUACUGACGCUGAGACGCGAAAGCGUGGGGAGCAAACAGG
Molecule: ribosomal RNA, 253 nt
Filed under: uncultured bacterium
Lineage: Bacteria
Description: partial 16S ribosomal RNA
Rfam family: Bacterial small subunit ribosomal RNA
Source: RNAcentral